RNAcentral lists this long non-coding RNA (216 nucleotides) under Elaeis guineensis (African oil palm). RNAcentral's name for it is "long non-coding RNA (EGUI_LNC038410)". Lineage: Eukaryota; Viridiplantae; Streptophyta; Magnoliopsida; Arecales; Arecaceae. The record is from RNAcentral.
CUAGCUGGAUUCAUUGAAACUUCAUUCUCUUUGUUGCUCAUUGUCACCUAAAAAUGCUAGCAUUAAUUAACUUCCUUAGAUGAACAAUAGAAACUUUAAGAAAAACUUAUCUAUUCUUAUUCAAUUAAACAUGAUUUAGCUAAACGAGAUCUAUCUACCUAUUACUGGACUUUAGGUCUCCCAAUGAUCAAACCUAUUGCUCUGAUACCAUAAAAU